Molecule: non-coding RNA, 46 nt
Organism: Erinaceus europaeus (western European hedgehog)
Lineage: Eukaryota; Metazoa; Chordata; Mammalia; Eulipotyphla; Erinaceidae
Source: Rfam
CCAAAGGCUCUUUUCAGAGCCACCCCACUAAUCUCAAAGGGGAGCU